UGUCCAUGCUGAUGCAGUCUGCACUCA
Molecule: non-coding RNA, 27 nt
Filed under: Mus musculus (house mouse)
Lineage: Eukaryota; Metazoa; Chordata; Mammalia; Rodentia; Muridae
Source: RNAcentral